ACACAUUAUUUGACAGCGUCUUCACUAUAAUGCUUUUAUUACGCGAAAUUAAUGACCCAUUUAAAGAGGUUUAAAUACAAACAAGUACUUAUCAAUCGUAUAAUUUAUUUCAAGGAUAAAGAAUGGUCUACAUACCAGAUGUCACAGUUUUCAAACAACAUGAUGCAGUUACCAGAUAUUUAAAAACAACUAUUCAGAAAGAAACAAAUCGGUGAACAAACAGUACCAGAUAAGUUUUAAAUGCUUCAAGGCAGUUUUAUAUUCCGAUGCUAUUUCCGCUUCGUCAUUGUUGGCAUCGUUAUUUUACAAACAAAAGAGGUUCAACGAAUGUUUAGAUAUUGUAAAUUACACUAUGUCAAAAUGUACUCCUGAUAAAAUCAUGCUAAAUGUUGGAAAGAACUUGGCAGAACAGACUUAUUUCCAGAGAGCCAAGAAGGCAGUCGGAUUGUUAUCAACUUCGAAACAUUUAGUCAUUUAUUCAGUGCCAUUUGUAAAACCAUUUUCGUUAUUGCCAUUAGAAUUGACCCCUUUAAUACUACUUACUGAUUAUUAUCUAUGCGUUAUUCCUUCUGUGGUGUAUUUGAAUAUGUUAUCGUUUUUAUGUUUACAUCACCUUAGAGAUCAUAGAGACAAACGUACUACACGUAGGGAUCUAGAACUAACAAUUCGUGAAAGAUAUUUUAUCGUACCGCACAUGCUUGAUGUCCAAAUUGCAAACGCUUGUUUCCGAAUUGCUAACAAUAUGAUGUAAUUUGAAAUCAUCAAAUUUCCGUAUGUAAAUUUUACAUCAUCAUUCGUUGUAUAACAAUUACAAGAUCCAGUAUUGUGUUCUUAAUGUCAAAAAAUGUACGGC
Molecule: long non-coding RNA, 853 nt
Filed under: Mytilus galloprovincialis (Mediterranean mussel)
Lineage: Eukaryota; Metazoa; Mollusca; Bivalvia; Mytilida; Mytilidae
Source: RNAcentral